AGAAAUUGCUUGGACUCAACAAUAGGCCAAAAACUAUACGUAUGAGUAUCACCAGAUUUGUUUGAUUCUUCAAAUAGCUACAUACAGGAUCUUCAUACUUACCAACACAAAUAUUCAAAUAUAGGGCAACGAGAUUUUACUGAUUAGAGCCAAAAUGCGCCAGGAAACAACAGUUACAGUGAAACAUACUAGUGAAAUCCCACAGCCUAGGAUGAACUGUACAACUGUUAGCAGCAGUAAAUCCUUCACAAAUGUUCUUAGGUGUUAUUUCUGCAAUAUAUACUGAUACCUAAUCGAAACUAGCUCCUCCCAAUACCACUCAAGUUCUCCAUUCCACCA
This 339-nucleotide unclassified non-coding RNA is filed under the name Hevea brasiliensis (rubber tree). The record is from RNAcentral. Lineage: Eukaryota; Viridiplantae; Streptophyta; Magnoliopsida; Malpighiales; Euphorbiaceae.